AACGAACGCUGGCGGCAGGCUUAAUACAUGCAAGUCGAGCGGGCACUUCGGUGUCAGCGGCGCACGGGUGCGUAACGCGUGGGAACAUGCCUUUAGGUACGGAACAACCAAGGGAAACUUUGGCUAAUACCGUAUAAUAUCUCUGGAUCAAAGAUUUAUCGCCUAAAGAUUGGCCCGCGUUAGAUUAGGUAGUUGGUGGGGUAAUGGCCUACCAAGCCGACGAUCUAUAGGGGGUCUGAGAGGAUGAUCCCCCACACUGGAACUGAGACACGGUCCAGACUCCUACGGGAGGCAGCAGUAAGGAAUAUUGGACAAUGGGCGAAAGCCUGAUCCAGCCAUGCCGCGUGAGUGAUGAAGGCCUUAGGGUUGUAAAGCUCUUUUAGAUGGGAAGAUAAUGACUGUACCAACAGAAUAAGCCCCGGCUAAAUUCGUG
Molecule: ribosomal RNA, 433 nt
Filed under: uncultured bacterium
Lineage: Bacteria
Description: partial 16S ribosomal RNA
Rfam family: Bacterial small subunit ribosomal RNA
Source: RNAcentral